CUCCCUUCUCCUCUUCUUCCAGCUCCAUCUCUCUUCUCUCCAGCUACUCUUCGCUGUUCAUCUUAUCUGCAUGGCCAUGGCGAAUUGGCAUGUGCCUGCUCCUACUUUCCAUCACCAAUCGAUCUGCAGGGGCCUGCAAAAGGAAAGGAGGUGAUGAAAUAGUAGCUAUGAUGUUGGCUCGGCUCGCUCAGAUGACCACGCGGGAUGCCAUGCCCGCGAUAUGGUGUUUCUGAUUGAGCCGUGCCAAUAUCUUAGUACUCUUUCAUACGAGAUUCGGUCGCACUCCCUACAAUCUGGGUUCCCUCUCUUCUCUUGUUCACUUGGGAUCUUGUAUGAUGUCAAGGUGAUGCAUGAGAGGUUGUCGACCACUGGAUCGAGUAGAAACAGGAGCAGUAUAUAGUGCAGCCUGUAAAAGACUAUAGUAGCUACGGCGAAGCCAAGCCUCCAGGGGCUCCAGGCACGCACUGCUUGGCCUGAAAAUUCUUCUUGGAUCGAUCUUGAAUUUCUGUUGGAGGCCUGGAACAUAUGAAUCCAUGCAUAUGCAACAGUCAGUUUCUCAUACACUUUUUUUAGGGGUGUUCCUCGUACACUUGAAUGUAUGCGCCUUUACUUAUUGUUAUUGAUCAUGUCUUAUGUAUAUAGUAUCUCCAUAGUAUAUAUAGGAUCGGAAAAGUUCACAUGUGUAAGCCCGGCCUCCAUUUUAUGUAAGGGCAUGCACCGGUGCCAGGACAAUUAAAUGACUUGAUUUGAUUAAUC
Molecule: long non-coding RNA, 756 nt
Organism: Panicum virgatum (switchgrass)
Lineage: Eukaryota; Viridiplantae; Streptophyta; Magnoliopsida; Poales; Poaceae
Exons: 2
Source: RefSeq, a predicted model, not a curated record